CCUACGGGUGGCAGCAGUGAGGAAUAUUGGUCAAUGGACGAGAGUCUGAACCAGCCAAGUAGCGUGAAGGAUGACUGCCCUAUGGGUUGUAAACUUCUUUUAUAUGGGAAUAAACUGUUCCACGUGUGGGAGUUUGUAUGUACCAUAUGAAUAAGGAUCGGCUAACUCCGUGCCAGCAGCCGCGGUAAUACGGAGGAUCCGAGCGUUAUGCGGAUUUAUUGGGUUUAAAGGGAGCGUAGGUGGAUUGUUAAGUAAGUUGUGAAAGUUUGCGGCUCAACCGUAAAAGUGCAGUUGAAACUGGCAGUCUUGAGUACAGUAGAGGUGGGCGGAAUUCGUGGUGUAGCGGUGAAAUGCUUAGAUAUCACGAAGAACUCCGAUUGCGAAGGCAGCUCACUGGACUGCAACUGACACUGAGGCUCGAAAGUGUGGGUAUCAAACAGGAUUAGAUACCCCGGUAGUC
Molecule: ribosomal RNA, 460 nt
Filed under: uncultured bacterium
Lineage: Bacteria
Description: partial 16S ribosomal RNA
Rfam family: Bacterial small subunit ribosomal RNA
Source: RNAcentral